Molecule: ribosomal RNA, 480 nt
Filed under: uncultured bacterium
Lineage: Bacteria
Description: bacterial SSU rRNA
Rfam family: Bacterial small subunit ribosomal RNA
Source: RNAcentral
UAACACAUGCAAGUCGAACGGCAGCACGGGCUUCGGCCUGGUGGCGAGUGGCGAACGGGUGAGUAAUACAUCGGAACGUGCCCUGUAGUGGGGGAUAACUAGUCGAAAGAUUAGCUAAUACCGCAUACGACCUGAGGGUGAAAGCGGGGGACCGCAAGGCCUCGCGCUACAGGAGCGGCCGAUGUCUGAUUAGCUAGUUGGUGGGGUAAAAGCCUACCAAGGCGACGAUCAGUAGCUGGUCUGAGAGGACGAUCAGCCACACUGGGACUGAGACACGGCCCAGACUCCUACGGGAGGCAGCAGUGGGGAAUUUUGGACAAUGGGGGCAACCCUGAUCCAGCAAUGCCGCGUGUGUGAAGAAGGCCUUCGGGUUGUAAAGCACUUUUGUCCGGAAAGAAAUGGCUCUGGUUAAUACCCGGGGUCGAUGACGGUACCGGAAGAAUAAGCACCGGCUAACUACGUGCCAGCAGCCGCGGUAAU